RNAcentral lists this ribosomal RNA (1434 nucleotides) under Nunduva sanagustinensis C708-K271. RNAcentral's name for it is "bacterial SSU rRNA". It matches the Rfam family "Bacterial small subunit ribosomal RNA". Lineage: Bacteria; Bacillati; Cyanobacteriota; Cyanophyceae; Nostocales; Rivulariaceae. The record is from RNAcentral.
GUCGAACGGUCUCUUCGGAGAUAGUGGCGGACGGGUGAGUAACGCGUGAGAAUCUGCCUUUAGGUUCGGGACAACAGUUGGAAACGACUGCUAAUACCGAAUGUGUCGUAAGAUGAAAGAUUUAUCGCCUAAAGAUGAGCUCGCGUCUGAUUAGCUAGUUGGUGAGGUAAAAGCUUACCAAGGCGACGAUCAGUAGCUGGUCUGAGAGGAUGAUCAGCCACAUUGGGACUGAGACACGGCCCAAACUCCUACGGGAGGCAGCAGUGGGGAAUUUUCCGCAAUGGGCGAAAGCCUGACGGAGCAACGCCGCGUGAGGGAGGAAGGCUCUUGGGUUGUAAACCUCUUUUCUCAAGGAAGAUAAUGGCGGUACUUGAGGAAUCAGCAUCGGCUAACUCCGUGCCAGCAGCCGCGGUAAUACGGAGGAUGCAAGCGUUAUCCGGAAUAAUUGGGCGUAAAGCGUUCGUAGGUGGUUUUGUAAGUCUGCUGUUAAAGCGUGUAGCUCAACUACAUAAUGGCGGUGGAAACUACAAGACUUGAGUGCGUUCGGGGUAGGGGGAAUUCCUGGUGUAGCGGUGAAAUGCGUAGAGAUCAGGAAGAACACCGGUGGCGAAGGCGCUCUACUAGGCCGCAACUGACACUGAGGGACGAAAGCUAGGGGAGCGAAUGGGAUUAGAUACCCCAGUAGUCCUAGCUGUAAACGAUGGAUACUAGGCGUUGUCUGUAUCGACCCGGACAGUGCCGUAGCUAACGCGUUAAGUAUCCCGCCUGGGGAGUACGCACGCAAGUGUGAAACUCAAAGGAAUUGGCGGGGGCCCGCACAAGCGGUGGAGUAUGUGGUUUAAUUCGAUGCAACGCGAAGAACCUUACCAAGGCUUGACAUGUCCGGAAUUUCCGUGAAAGCGGGAAGUGCCUUCGGGAGCCGGAACACAGGUGGUGCAUGGCCGUCGUCAGCUCGUGUCGUGUGAUGUUGGGUUAAGUCCCGCAACGAGCGCAACCCUCGUCCUUAGUUGCCAGCAUUUCGGGUGGGCACUUUAGGGAGACUGCCGGUGACAAACCGGAGGAAGGUGGGGAUGACGUCAAGUCAUCAUGCCCCUUACGUCUUGGGCUACACACGUACUACAAUGCUAUGGACAAAGAGCAGCCAGCUAGCGAUAGUGCGCUAAUCUCAUAAACCAUGGCUCAGUUCAGAUUGCAGGCUGCAACUCGCCUGCAUGAAGUAGGAAUCGCUAGUAAUUGCAGGUCAGCAUACUGCAGUGAAUUCGUUCCCGGGCCUUGUACACACCGCCCGUCACACCAUGGAAGUUGGUCACGCCCGAAGUCGUUACCCUAACCGCUUGCGGAGGGGGACGCCGAAGGUAGGACUGAUGACUGGGGUGAAGUCGUAACAAGGUAGCCGUACCGGAAGGUGUGGCUGGAUCACCUCCUUUUUAGGGA